GUUUCUAUUUUUUUUUUUGGUAUAAAUGUUGUAGAGCCCAAACAAAUAAAUGGGCCCAAAAUUAACCCAAUUACCCUAGCCCCAAUACAGACCCUAGCCCAAAAAAAAUCAAAUUGCUGAAACCCUAAACCGGCCUCCCCUACAUGCGCGCCGCUCCCACGCCCAACAGUCAUCCUUGCGCUCCGCAGAUCGCGCCACCCGCGCGCUUCCAUCGCCGUACUUGGCAUGAAGACCACGAGCCACGAACAGUAGAGAUAACAGGAAAUUUAGCAAGAAAUUAGAUAGUUUUGUUAUUUUGUUAUUUUUAUUUAUUUAUUUAUUUAUUUUAGUUAUUUUUAUUUUUCUCUAAUAUUCGGUUAUAAAAACCGAUUUGAAACACUUUGAAAAGGGGGGGAAUUCAGUGUAAAAAAAAUAGAGAGAAUACUGUAAAUUUGAAGAAAAACAGUGAAAUAAAAUCAAAAGAGGUGAAUCUCUUCUUAGAUUUUUUUUCUUUGUUUGUUUUAUUUAUUUUCCGAUUUUUGUAUAUUAAACAGAAAAAUAUAAAAGAGGAGAGGGGUAAUGCCUUCGAGGAUUCGCCGUCGAAACGUUCGCCUCGCUCAAAUCGGAGCUUGACGGAGCGUUGGGGAUCGGCUCGCCUGAGAAUGGCGGCAAUAGGGGGCUGGGGUUGAAAACCCUAGCAGAGAGCAUUUGUUUUUUU
Molecule: long non-coding RNA, 697 nt
Filed under: Gossypium barbadense (sea-island cotton)
Lineage: Eukaryota; Viridiplantae; Streptophyta; Magnoliopsida; Malvales; Malvaceae
Description: long non-coding RNA (GBAR_LNC013254)
Source: RNAcentral